Molecule: transfer-messenger RNA, 403 nt
Filed under: Anaerolineaceae
Lineage: Bacteria; Bacillati; Chloroflexota; Anaerolineae; Anaerolineales
Also listed under: 1 other name
Description: T78 sp012729755 Standard tmRNA
Rfam family: transfer-messenger RNA
About the family: Bacterial tmRNA, also known as 10Sa RNA or SsrA, is named for its dual tRNA and mRNA-like properties.
Source: RNAcentral
GGGGAUGCCAGGUCUCGACGGGAGAAGCUGAGUCCGGAUUGCGAGCCGAGAGGUACCGACCUCGUUAACUCAGUACACCAAACAAGUGCCAAUCGCACUUCUUAUGCUACCCUCCCACUUGCUGCAUAAGCAGGUGUGAAGUAGCUGACCUCCCCAAAACGGCGAGGUCACGCUCCCUGAGGCCGUUCGUCCGACCGGAAUCAGCAAGAGUGUCAUAAAAGUCGGAAUGCUGUCUGUCAGGCCGUGAGGCGGACUUAAGAGGGCUUUCGGGCUCAAGCGGAUUGUCUUUCAAUAGUUUAGCUGGUUGAUCUGUUGAAGGAUGAAAAAGAAUAACCGGCUACGCUCGUAGAAAUUCGAGGGUCUAAUCUUUCGGACGCGGGUUCGAUUCCCGCCAUCUCCACCU